CCCGUUCGGGUCCGUGGUUGCGCCGGGCCGGCCCCCUGGGGGCGGGCCUGGCUAGCCGAUGCCAGCCGCAGGCGAAACGGCCCACGUAAGGCGACUCUUCGUCGACCGAUCACGGUGCGGCUUAGAGGUAAGUCCUGCCUUCCCGGGGGGCCGGAUGUCCCCCGUACGAAGAGAAGGGUAGUAGUGGCGGGAGUGCCGCGAACCCCUCAGCAGGCGGAUGUGGGGACGAAGACCAGGUCGGCCGGACGGG
Molecule: non-coding RNA, 250 nt
Filed under: unclassified sequences
Description: raiA RNA
Rfam family: raiA RNA
Source: Rfam by way of RNAcentral